This 497-nucleotide ribosomal RNA is filed under the name uncultured bacterium. RNAcentral describes it as "partial 16S ribosomal RNA". It matches the Rfam family "Bacterial small subunit ribosomal RNA", at positions 28 to 507 of the family's 1533-position model. The record is from RNAcentral.
GAUGAACGCUGGCGGCGUGCCUAAUACAUGCAAGUCGAGCGAACAGACGAGGAGCUUGCUCCUCUGACGUUAGCGGCGGACGGGUGAGUAACACGUGGAUAACCUACCUAUAAGACUGGGAUAACUUCGGGAAACCGGAGCUAAUACCGGAUAAUAUAUUGAACCGCAUGGUUCAAUAGUGAAAGACGGUUUUGCUGUCACUUAUAGAUGGAUCCGCGCCGCAUUAGCUAGUUGGUAAGGUAACGGCUUACCAAGGCAACGAUGCGUAGCCGACCUGAGAGGGUGGUGCGGCACACUGGGAAUGAGACACGGGCCAGACUCCCACGGGAGGGAGGAGGGGGGAAUAUUUCACAAAGGGGGAAAGCCCGAACGAGCAAAGCCGCGGGGGUGAAGAAGGUUUUCGGAUUGGAAAACACUUUUUGUUGGGAAGAAACAAAGUUAGAAAAAACCUUGCUGUUUUGACGGUACCAAAAGAAAAAACCCCGGCUAACUUCGGG